This is a transfer RNA of Mesoplasma florum L1, 73 nucleotides long. It matches the Rfam family "tRNA". From Rfam's summary of the family: Transfer RNA (tRNA) molecules are approximately 80 nucleotides in length. Their secondary structure includes four short double-helical elements and three loops (D, anti-codon, and T loops). The record is from Rfam. NCBI's taxonomy places the organism in Bacteria, Bacillati, Mycoplasmatota, Mollicutes, Entomoplasmatales, Entomoplasmataceae.
GGGCCCUUAGCUCAGCUGGGAGAGCACCUGCCUUGCACGCAGGGGGUCGUCGGUUCGAUCCCGAUAGGGUCCA